GCAGCUGCUCCCAACCCCAGCGCCUUUGCUGUCUUGGAACAGAUCACCACUGCAAGAGGGGAGGUUGCUACUGUGAUGAAUUCUGCCAUGUGGUACCAGACUGCUGCCCAGACCACAGUGUCCUCUGCAACCCUGCUUCUCAGAUGACCAAGAUGGGGCUGCAGAUGGUGCUGAAGAUGGAGAACCCACCCAGCCCUGCUAGGAGCCAUCUAGACUGGGUGCAGAGCACGGUUCAGCGGCUUCUCCAAACCAGCCUCCCAGGAAUACCAUUCUCCAUGGCCAUAGAGGGGAUCAAGAAGAAAGCCUGACUCCUCUCCUGAGGCCCCUUCCCCACCCCGAGCCAGCAGGAUCCAUGGAGCAGAGGUCAUCUGUCCCCAGCGUGGCCGGCUGAGGCCAGAACUGCUGGGCCAGGGGUGCUUGUCUCUCAGCUCACAUCCUGUAUACUUUCACAUUGGUUUAGCCAGAGCAAAACUGAAAUCUACAGUUGUCAUGAACACGUUUAAAUGUGCGUCGAAUCAG
Saimiri boliviensis boliviensis (Bolivian squirrel monkey) is the source of this 519-nucleotide long non-coding RNA. RefSeq lists it as uncharacterized. The record is from RefSeq and is a predicted model, not a curated record. NCBI's taxonomy places the organism in Eukaryota, Metazoa, Chordata, Mammalia, Primates, Cebidae.